Molecule: non-coding RNA, 1288 nt
Organism: Physcomitrium patens
Lineage: Eukaryota; Viridiplantae; Streptophyta; Bryopsida; Funariales; Funariaceae
Source: RefSeq, a predicted model, not a curated record
ACCUUGAUUAUGAGUUUAAAAUGGAGCAAGAGACAGCCUCAUUCCUUCGCCCCCAUUUCGCAGCUCAGAUCCGCUCAGUUUCGCUGUGAUAUGUUGUUAGUUAUCUGUUGCUAUCUGCUGCGCUCAUCUGCUGCUGGACCUUAGCUCCGCUCAUCUUCGCUCAUAUCUGCUCCUAGUUGCCCAGGAGAUUAUUGCUUAGUACAUUUGGAUCGGUGUGUUGAGUGAGAGUGACCUGGCAGAUCUGAAGCUGGCGAAAAUGAGCAGUGGGGGCUAUUCAUCUCUCGAUGACGUGACAAGCGUUUCAGCUCCCAAGAUGGAGACGUUUUUUGUGGGAGAGGCUCUGAAGCAUCUGUACCUGCUGUUCGUCGAUUCGAACGUCCUACCGUUGACUGAAUAGGUAUUCAACACCGAGGCUCAUCCACUGCCGAUCGCGCAACAACAGCGGGUGUCGAUGCUGGAUGCCAUACAAACUACAGAUGAGUAAUUGUGAGGGAGGUUUGUUGGGAGUGGGAUUGCAUUUGCGUGGUUGGUCAUGGUUUCUCGUGUGUUUUAGAGUUUAUACAGCACCAGUACUGUGAUAAUCGUCUAGUCAGAAGUUGAUUUUGUAGGGUCGUAAUGCUGGUAAUGGGUAGUUCUUCCAGGUUUAAGAGUGACCUCAUAGGAGAUUGUCAUAUAUACGCCGUUAUUCCAUUCCACCCUUUGUAGUAGUUACAUUUCCCUGCAUUGACAAUUGAGAAGAGUGUAGAGCCAUCUCGAUUUCCAGACACAAUUCCAGUUGUGACUGAGACUCGUUGCCUCUUUGGCUGACAGAUUUCAAUUGAACAUCGCCGGGAUGAUUGGCAAGCACAUGUUUCACUCGUAUAUGAAUCUGAAAUAAACUAAUGCAACUGCAUUUCUUGAUCAGUUCCUUGCUCCAUGUGGUCUUCCCUUUGUGGGCGACUCACACGUGGAUUUUCAAAUCGCAUAGUAACUGUAGCAAGCUCCAAUAGUUGUUCGCGCAUUUUUUUCUUGUUGAUGUAGAGGUAAAAUAACAAAUGUUAGACGAACAACAUAGAGUGGGCGGAGACUUUUGGAAGAUACUUCGACUUGUGUUGGUAUUGUAGUUGACUGUUCAAAAUCAUUCGCCAAAUGAUAUUGAAGAUGAAAGUGAGCAAUUGUCAAUAGAAAACGAAUCCGAACUUAUAUUGUUCAAAAACAAGGUGAAAGGAGAUGAGAUAUGAGAUAUGUUACACAACAUUGGUGAACAGACUAAAAUUAUGUUGACGAGAAACAUUGGUUUGUUCCGAAA